UGCCCACUCUGCACAACGCUGUCCUCCACUCGUCCUCUGAGGGCUUGAGAGGAUGUUUGGUUUGCAAUCAUUUUUCCUUGUGGUUCAAAGGAAUCACAGGCAGAAGCCUCAUAUAUAAAAAUAUGUAAAAUCCGCUUUGGGCUGGAAUCUCAGAUCCCCGAACCCUGUGCCGCAGACAUCUCCGAUCUGUACCUGCUCCCCGCCCACCCCCAGGAGGUGUCGUCUGGGGAUCUCUGAGUGUGGCUGUGCAGCACGUGCGUGAUGGGAAGGGGAGCGGCCAUCCUGGAGCCACCCCCAGGAAGCCCCAUUCCCUGUCCAGGUGGGAGCGUGGGCCCUUCUUCUGAGCUCCGUUCUGAAGCCUUUCCCGUUCUGCAAGUGUCCAAGCUGCUGCUGGCAAGCCUUCCUCCUUGAGCCUUCAGGACAGAUGCCUGGACGGGAGUUUGUCCUUCAGCCGCGUUUAGCAGCAAGGAGACAGACAGUUCAUAAAAGAAUGUUUGCUGAACUGGACUGAACUGAGUCACUGUGCAUCCGUGACGUGAUGCUACCAGCGAAACAGUUGCUCAGCUGUGUCUAACUCCUUGAGACCUCAUGGAAUGAAGCC
Long non-coding RNA from Dama dama (fallow deer), 601 nucleotides. RefSeq lists it as uncharacterized. NCBI's taxonomy places the organism in Eukaryota, Metazoa, Chordata, Mammalia, Artiodactyla, Cervidae. The record is from RefSeq and is a predicted model, not a curated record. The transcript has 3 exons.